GACGAACGCUGGCGGCGUGCUUAACACAUGCAAGUCGAGCGGUAAGGCCCUUUCGGGGGUACACGAGCGGCGAACGGGUGAGUAACACGUGGGUGACCUGCCCUUAGCUCUGGGAUAAGCCUGGGAAACUGGGUCUAAUACCGGAUAUGACUCCAUGACGCAUGUUGUGGGGUGGAAAGCCUUGUGCGGCUAGGGAUGGGCCCGCGGCCUAUCAGCUUGUUGGUGGGGUGANGGCCUACCAAGGCGACGACGGGUAGCCGGCCUGAGAGGGCGACCGGCCACACUGGGACUGAGACACGGCCCAGACUCCUACGGGAGGCAGCAGUGGGAUCUUGCGCAAUGGGCGAAGCCUGACGCAGCGACGCCGCGUGAGGGAUGACGGCCU
Molecule: ribosomal RNA, 385 nt
Filed under: uncultured bacterium
Lineage: Bacteria
Description: bacterial SSU rRNA
Rfam family: Bacterial small subunit ribosomal RNA
Source: RNAcentral